UACGGGGGGGGCAAGCGUUGUUCGGAAUUACUGGGCGUAAAGGGCUCGUAGGUGGCCAACUAAGUCGGACGUGAAAUCCCUCAGCUUAACUGGGGAACUGCGUCUGAUACUGGAUGGCUUGAGUUCGGGAGAGGGAUGCGGAAUUCCAGGUGUAGCGGUGAAAUGCGUAGAUAUCUGGAGGAACACCGGUGGCGAAGGCGGCAUCCUGGACCGACACUGACGCUGAGGAGCGAAAGCCAGGGGAGCAAACGGG
This 253-nucleotide ribosomal RNA is filed under the name uncultured bacterium. RNAcentral describes it as "partial 16S ribosomal RNA". It matches the Rfam family "Bacterial small subunit ribosomal RNA", at positions 524 to 776 of the family's 1533-position model. The record is from RNAcentral.